Molecule: ribosomal RNA, 305 nt
Filed under: uncultured bacterium
Lineage: Bacteria
Description: bacterial SSU rRNA
Rfam family: Bacterial small subunit ribosomal RNA
Source: RNAcentral
UCCUACGGGGGGCAGCAGUGAGGAAUAUUGGUCAAUGGGCGGAAGCCUGAACCAGCCAAGUCGCGUGAGGGAAUAAGGCCCUACGGGUCGUAAACCUCUUUUGCCGGGGAGCAAGGGCGGGGACGUGUCCCGGCCCGGAGAGUACCCGGAGAAAAAGCAUCGGCUAACUCCGUGCCAGCAGCCGCGGUAAUACGGAGGAUGCGAGCGUUAUCCGGAUUUAUUGGGUUUAAAGGGUGCGUAGGCGGGCUUUUAAGUCAGCGGUAAAAAUUCGGGGCUCAAACCCGGCCGGCCGGUGAAACUGGGGG